RNAcentral lists this ribosomal RNA (386 nucleotides) under uncultured eukaryote. RNAcentral's name for it is "SSU rRNA". It matches the Rfam family "Eukaryotic small subunit ribosomal RNA", at positions 587 to 972 of the family's 1831-position model. The record is from RNAcentral.
AGCUCCAAUAGCGUAUAUUAAAGUUGUUGCAGUUAAAAAGCUCGUAGUUGGAUUUCUGGUCGGAGCGACCGGUCGGCGUCCUUAGUGGCGUGUGCACUGUCGUCGGCUCCGUCCAUCCUGGUGAGGAGGCGUGGGGGCAUUGAUUUGUUCUUGCGUGGACUCGCCACGUUUACUGUGAAAAAUUAGAGUGUUUAAAGCAGGCGUUCGCUGUGAAUACAUUAGCAUGGAAUAAUGAGAUAGGACUUUGGUACUAUUUUGUUGGUUUGCGCACCAAGGUAAUGAUUAAUAGGGAUAGUUGGGGGUAUUCAUAUUCAAUUGUCAGAGGUGAAAUUCUUGGAUUUAUGGAAGAUGAACUUAUGCGAAAGCAUUUACCAAGGAUGUUUUCA